This 492-nucleotide ribosomal RNA is filed under the name uncultured bacterium. RNAcentral's name for it is "partial 16S ribosomal RNA". It matches the Rfam family "Bacterial small subunit ribosomal RNA", at positions 29 to 507 of the family's 1533-position model. The record is from RNAcentral.
AGUGAACGCUGGCGGUAGGCCUAACACAUGCCAGUCGAACGGCAGCACAGUAAGAGCUUGCUCUUACGGGUGGCGAGUGGCGGACGGGUGAGGAAUACAUCGGAAUCUACUUUUUCGUGGGGGAUAACGUAGGGAAACUUACGCUAAUACCGCAUACGACCUACGGGUGAAAGCAGGGGAUCUUCGGACCUUGCGCGAUUGAAUGAGCCGAUGUCGGAUUAGCUAGUUGGCGGGGUACAGGCCCACCAAGGCGAUGAUCCGUAGCUGGUCUGAGAGGAUGAUCCGCCACACUGGAAGUGAGACACGGUCCAGACACCUACGGGAGGCAGCAGUGGGGAAUAGUGGACAAUGGGCGCAAGCCUGAUCCAGCGGUACCGCGUGGGUGAAGAAGGCCUUCGGGUUGUAAAGCCCUUUUGUUGGGAAAGAAAAGCAGCAGGUUAAUACCCCGCUGUUCUGACGGUACCCAAAGAAUAAGCACCGGCUAACUUCGUG